GACGUAGGGCGCGAGCGUUGUCCGGAUUUAUUGGGCGUAAAGAGCUCGUAGGCGGCUUGUCGCGUCGGCUGUGAAAUCCCGCGGCUCAACUGCGGGUCUGCAGUCGAUACGGGCAGGCUAGAGUUCGGUAGGGGAGACUGGAAUUCCUGGUGUAGCGGUGAAAUGCGCAGAUAUCAGGAGGAACACCGGUGGCGAAGGCGGGUCUCUGGGCCGAUACUGACGCUGAGGAGCGAAAGCGUGGGGAGCGAACAGG
RNAcentral lists this ribosomal RNA (253 nucleotides) under uncultured bacterium. RNAcentral describes it as "partial 16S ribosomal RNA". It matches the Rfam family "Bacterial small subunit ribosomal RNA", at positions 524 to 776 of the family's 1533-position model. The record is from RNAcentral.